Molecule: ribosomal RNA, 365 nt
Filed under: uncultured bacterium
Lineage: Bacteria
Description: bacterial SSU rRNA
Rfam family: Bacterial small subunit ribosomal RNA
Source: RNAcentral
AUUGAACGCUGGCGGAAUGCUUUACACAUGCAAGUCGAGCGGCAGCGCGGGGGCAACCCUGGCGGCGAGCGGCGAACGGGUGAGUAAUACAUCGGAACGUGUCCUUAAGUGGGGGAUAGCUCGGCGAAAGCCGGAUUAAUACCGCAUAAGCUCUGAGGAGGAAAGGCGGGGGCUCCGUAAGGACCUCGCGCUGUUGGAGCGGCCGAUGUCGGAUUAGCUAGUUGGUGGGGUAAACGGCCCACCAAGGCGACGAUCCGUAGCUGGUCUGAGAGGAUGAUCAGCCACACUGGAACUGAGACACGGUCCAGACUCCUACGGGAGGCGGCAGUGGGGAAUUUUGGACAAGUGGGGGCAACCCUGAUCCA